UACGUAGGGGGCAAGCGUUGUCCGGAAUCAUUGGGCGUAAAGCGCGCGUAGGCGGCCCGGUAAGUCCGCUGUAAAAGUCCAGGGCUCAACCCUGGAAAGCCGGUGGAUACUGUCGGGCUAGAGUCCGGAAGAGGCGAGUGGAACUCCUGGUGUAGCGGUGAAAUGCGCAGAUAUCAGGAAGAACACCAAUGGCGAAGGCAGCUCUCUGGGACGGUACUGACGCUGAGACGCGAAAGCGUGGGGAGCGAACAGG
Molecule: ribosomal RNA, 253 nt
Filed under: uncultured bacterium
Lineage: Bacteria
Description: partial 16S ribosomal RNA
Rfam family: Bacterial small subunit ribosomal RNA
Source: RNAcentral